CCUACGGGGGGCUGCAGUGGGGAAUAUUGGACAAUGGGGGGAACCCUGAUCCAGCCAUGCCGCGUGUGUGAAGAAGGCCCUCGGGUUGUAAAGCACUUUCAGUGAGGAAGAACGCCUGGUGGUUAAUACCCAUCAGGAAAGACAUCACUCACAGAAGUAGCACCGGCUAACUCCGUGCCAGCAGCCGCGGUAAUACGGAGGGUGCGAGCGUUAAUCGGAAUUACUGGGCGUAAAGCGCGCGUAGGUGGCUUGAUAAGCCGGUUGUGAAAGCCCCGGGCUCAACCUGGGAACGGCAUCCGGAACUGUCAAGCUAGAGUGCAGGAGAGGAAGGUAGAAUUCCCGGUGUAGCGGUGAAAUGCGUAGAGAUCGGGAGGAAUACCAGUGGCGAAGGCGGCCUUCUGGACUGACACUGACACUGAGGUGCGAAAGCGUGGGUAGCAAACAGGAUUAGAUACCCUGGAAGUC
Molecule: ribosomal RNA, 465 nt
Filed under: Vreelandella stevensii
Lineage: Bacteria; Pseudomonadati; Pseudomonadota; Gammaproteobacteria; Oceanospirillales; Halomonadaceae
Description: partial 16S ribosomal RNA
Rfam family: Bacterial small subunit ribosomal RNA
Source: RNAcentral